This 73-nucleotide transfer RNA is filed under the name Cavia porcellus (domestic guinea pig). It matches the Rfam family "tRNA". Rfam says of the family: Transfer RNA (tRNA) molecules are approximately 80 nucleotides in length. Their secondary structure includes four short double-helical elements and three loops (D, anti-codon, and T loops). Lineage: Eukaryota; Metazoa; Chordata; Mammalia; Rodentia; Caviidae. The record is from Rfam by way of RNAcentral.
GGGGAUAUAAUUCAGUGGCAUAAGCACCUGCCUGGUAAGCACGAGGUCAUGAGUUCAAUCCCUGUUACCCCCC